UGCCCACUGAUUAAAAAUUAAAGGGCUGCAGUAUUUUGACUGUACAAAGGUAGCAUAAUCAUUAGUCAUUUAAUUGGUGACUUGUAUGAAGGAUUGGAUGAAAUAUUAACUGUCUUAAAUAUAAAUUUUAUAAUUUAAUUUUUUAGUUAAAAAGCUAAAAUAUUAUAAAAAGACGAGAAGACCCUAUAGAGUUUAAUUAAAUAAUUAGAUUAAUAUAUUUUAUAUAAAUUUAGAUUUAAAUUUAAUUUUUAAUUUUAUUGGGGUGAUAGAAAAAUUCAAUAAACUUUUUAUAUAAAAGAACAUAAAUAAGUGAGUAAAUGAUCCAAUAAUAUUGAUUAUAAGAAAAAAUUACCUUAGGGAUAACAGCGUAAUUUUGUUUUUUAGUUCAUAUAAGAAAUAAAGUUUGCGACCUCGAUGUUGGAUUAAGAUAAAAUUUAAAUGUAGAAGUUUAAAGUUUUGA
Molecule: ribosomal RNA, 460 nt
Filed under: Euproctis chrysorrhoea
Lineage: Eukaryota; Metazoa; Arthropoda; Insecta; Lepidoptera; Erebidae
Description: partial large subunit ribosomal RNA
Source: RNAcentral